Molecule: RNA transcript, 4111 nt
Organism: Lepisosteus oculatus (spotted gar)
Lineage: Eukaryota; Metazoa; Chordata; Actinopteri; Semionotiformes; Lepisosteidae
Gene: entrep2
Gene name: family with sequence similarity 189 member A1
Source: RefSeq, a predicted model, not a curated record
CUCGCCGCUUUCCUCAGCACCUCCCUCCCCGCUAAACCCUUUCAUUUCGCUCCACUUCCUUUCUCGCUCCCCUGCCCGCACGCCUGUCCCAGCCCCUGCUGUCCCUCCCCCGUCACACUGUAACACACCGGCAGGCAGGCAGACAGGCAGGCAGGCUGAGCUCCCCAGCCAUCGAGCGUCUCUCGCCCGGGCUUCGCAGUGUUUGCUGUAGGAACAGCAGCCGGCUCUGCCUCACGACGCGCGGGCUGUGGACACAACCGUGACGGAGCUGCGGUAGCAGGCAACAGUGGAUCCACCACGAUAUCUCCCCCUUUUCUGUUUACCUUCCCCCCCCAUAGUUUCCGUGGAGUUAAUGUAAAUGCUGUUUUCUCUUUGGAAUUAUGUUUCCCUAGAAGGCGCUUUUGCAGCUCCUGUCAACGAGGAAAGCAACGAUGCCAGGUACUUUUUCAAUCCCAUCCAUUAGGAGCCCAGAGCCCGGAGCCUCGUGUGCGCUGUGAAUAAUUGGAAUGAGAUGGUGCAUUACUGGCUCCGAGGGAACUGCUCACCUUUGCUCGAGUGCGCUUUCCGACGUGCGGUUUCAAGUUCGGUCGCUGCUGCUUUAGUUUGACUGGGACCAGCGCCGGGAACUGGAGGAUGUGCUAGCGCACUUGCAACUUGCUGGUCUUUCUCAGGAGAGACGCAACUGAUGCGUUUUCGUUUCCCUGAGUACUCGCGCAUCCCGCGGCUGGCAUCUGCAGCUUUUCGCCUUCUUCCGAAACGGGCUGGGUAUUGCAAAGCCGCGUUCGGAUUUACACCGCGGUACAAUUUGGACAGCGCUGGUUUGUAUAAAACGCUAAGUUGGAGUAUUUUUUUUUUUAAAGCAGGCCAGAAAGGCAGAGUUCACUUUGGAUGCCGAUGCUUUUGUGCUUUUUUCAAUUGAAUCUUCUUUUUAUAUAAGUACUGCAUCUCGAAACAAUUAUGCCGGUUAGCGCUCUGCCCAGGGGCCGCUCGCUGAGCCCAGUGUCUCUGUCCCGGAGUCUGUCCAGGCUCCGGGAGUUUCGGACUCGAACGCGGAUCAUGCUUUCGCUCGGAGUUUCUCAGAUGGUGCUGGGCAGCUUGAUACUGGCUGUCAGUUUCGCCGCUUUGGCUCUUACUACCUCGCCGAGAGUCAGGCACUCCUGUCCCUUCUGGGCUGGUUUUUCGGUGCUGCUGUCCGGUCUGAUCGGGGUGGUGUCCUGGAAGAGGCCUCUCUCCUUAGUGAUCACCUUUUUCAUGCUGCUGUCUGCUGUGUGUGUGAUGCUGAACCUGGCCGGGUCCAUCCUCUCCUGCCAGAAUGCCCAGCUGGUGAAUUCCCUGGAAGCCUGUCAGCUAAUCAAGUUUGACAGCGAUGGUGUCUGCGUGUGUUGUGAGAUGCAGCAGCAGAGUCCCGGCUGCAAUAACCUAGGGGAAACGCUGAAGCUGAACCCACUGAGGGAAUGCAACACCAUCCGGCUGAGGCUGAAGGAGCUGCUGUUCAGUGUCUGUGCCCUGAAUGUCAUCUCCACCAUCGUCUGUGCCCUGGCCACUGCAAUGUGCUGCAUGCAGAUGGUCUCCACCGAUGUCCUGCACAUGUUUAUUCCUCACAGAUCCCGGUCUAUGAACCCAGACUGUAUGACCCCUCAUGGCACCAUAUUGCACCAGGCUUUGGAUUUCGAUGAGUUUAUUCCCCCAAUCCCACCACCUCCCUACUACCCUCCUGAGUACACCUGUACCCCAGUGGUGGAAUCGCAGAGGGGCCUGCACCUGGACUUCCCUCACUCCCCGUUCAGUACCAUCUAUGGCAUGCCUAUCAAUAGUCCCGGGACCCUGUACCCCUCCGAACUGCCCCCACCAUAUGAGGCCGUGGUGGGGCAGACGCCGGCCAGCCAGGGGACCACCAGUCUGGAGCAGCAGGCCACCGAAUCCAGCCUGUGUGAGAGAAACACCACCGCUGGCUUCAGCACACAAGCUUCGGUGGACAGCGCGUCCCUGAUGGUGUCUGAGGUGGCCGAUAUCCCGGACCACAGCUGCUCUUCGGAGGACCUGUGCUCCCUGGAAGUGCAGGGCUCCCUGCGGUCGGCCGACUUCUCCCCCUACAGCACCAUCCGCACGGCCGCCACACACGGCAGCUGCACCAGCCUGGAGCACAGCGCGCGCGGCAACCCCCGCCCCCCGCGGAGCCGGUCCCGGAGCUCCUCCCCGGACAGGUGCCGCGCACGGGACCGCUCGCCGGACUGGUCCUCCGAGAACAACAGCGGGCUGGAGGGGGAGGCCGGGGCCCCCAGGCGGGAGACGGCGGCUGCCUCCUCGCCCUCCCCGCCGCCCCGGCAGAAGAAGCUGUGCUUCAGCGUGUGGUCCCCCUCCUCCUCCUCCUCGGUCUCGCAGCCCCAGUCCAGCUCGGGCACCUCCCACGCGGCCGGCCUGGACAAGCCCCGGCCGCCGAGACACGCCAAGAGGUACCGGCUCUCCAGGAUCGCCCGCUCCACCAGCGACCCCGUCUCCUGCACAUCCCUCUCCGGAAGUGACAGCUGUGGCUGCUCAGCUGCCUAUAAUCCUGACGACUCCCCCCAGACCUCACCUGAGCCAGCUGCCUUCCCAGAACACACUGAAGUUGUGGUGUCAUACCAAGGCUCGGUCAGACACAUGCCUCAGUCUGGAAGGCCAAGGGACCGCAGCAAAGUGGACAUCAGGCUGAAACCCAGAGCCCUGCAGGCUGUUUCCAAAGAGCGGCCUCACUCCUUGGUGGACCUUAAGACUUACAAAGACACCAAAAUACUGGUGGCCAAAUUCCUGGAGCACUCCAGCUGCAAUCUACCUCCAGAGGUGCAACAUGUGGUCAGCAGCAUCAAGUACGUCAUCAAGUCUGAUGAGCGGCACAUGGAGGAGGCCAUCUUCAGUGCCAGCGUCAUCGAUCAGGUGAUGACCAAGUCCCAGCAGGCCCUGCGGCGCCCGCGGAAGAGGCUCCAGGAGGACCUGCACCUGCAGAGCUGUGGCGCGCUGAGCUCACCCUCCUCCUCGCUGCGCCGGUCCCGGGCGCCGAGCGCCUCGCUGCAGGAGCGCCCUCACAGCCUGAUCGGGGUGUCCCGGGAGACCAUCCUCUGACACCAGCGCGCACCCACCCCACACUGCCUUCCAGACAACGUGCCAAGCAAGGCGGGGGGGGGAGGGACCCCCCCUCUGACAAGGAAAAGCGCAGACACCAAGAGACAGACCACAGAGGACAACUGAAGCAGGAAUCCUGAAGGAAUGAUACAGCUUGUGAAAUAUUUGUUUUCCCCCCCUUGGUGGUGUUUUUGCACUUACAGCUUUUCCAAGACAACCACAUACUGUACAUUGUGCAUAAUAUUCUCUGGGUUCCCAUAAUAAUGUACAAAUAGUGAGUUGAGUGAAAAGUGACCCUUAACCUCCCCAAAUCCCUGCGUAGCAGUUAAAAUCAUACCCAUCGAGGGGCACAUCUGCUCCAGAGUUGGAAAACAGAAUUAUGCAUUUGUCUGGAAAACAAGUUUUACAGUAGGAAGCCACACAAUUGCAUGUUUCUGGCCCUUUGCAGGACUUACAAGAGCUACAGCCUCCAUGCACGCAACUUGAAUGACCACUGUGUAGCUGAAAACAAGAGCCAUGGUGCUUAACGGGUUUGUUAUUUUCCCCCAGAAUGACUGGACUCUAUUGGCAUGCAACAGGUAGUUUUUAUUUUUAUUUUUAGUACAGUAAAUUUUUAAAGCAUUACUCAGUGGUAAGGCUUCUUCAGUCACAGUGUGUUUAUUUUUUUUUUCCAAAGGGGUGUGGCCCAACAUGAAGGAAAAAACAAAAAUGUUUUAGCAUGACUACCAGAUAUCCCCUAGUGGGCACAAUACUUAACAGUAUGCAUUAUGUACAAACAUUCCAAUACUGCUGAUGGUUAUGGAUACAGCUCUAGGACACACUACAUUCACAACACCACUCAAACAAAACCUCCAGUUUCUCAGUAGGAAACGUGAAAACAGGGAGCUGAAGUCAUACAUUUUACAAAACACAGUAAGUGUCAUGUCUUUAUUCACUGAAACUAAGCUUUUUUACAUCAAUUUUGGUUUAAGGUUCCGCCACGAGUGGCACUUCACUCUUUACAAGUGUAUUU